CCUACGGGCGGCAGCAGUGGGGAAUAUUGGACAAUGGGCGAAAGCCUGAUCCAGCCAUGCCGCGUGUGUGAAGAAGGCCUUCGGGUUGUAAAGCACUUUCAGUGGGGAAGAAAGCCUUGGGGCUAAUACCCUCGAGGAAGGACAUCACCCACAGAAGAAGCACCGGCUAACUCCGUGCCAGCAGCCGCGGUAAUACGGAGGGUGCGAGCGUUAAUCGGAAUUACUGGGCGUAAAGCGCGCGUAGGCGGUCUGAUAAGCCGGUUGUGAAAGCCCCGGGCUCAACCUGGGAACGGCAUCCGGAACUGUCAGGCUAGAGUGCAGGAGAGGAAGGUAGAAUUCCCGGUGUAGCGGUGAAAUGCGUAGAUAUCGGGAGGAAUACCAGUGGCGAAGGCGGCCUUCUGGACUGACACUGACGCUGAGGUGCGAAAGCGUGGGUAGCAAACAGGAUUAGAUACCCUAGUAGUC
RNAcentral lists this ribosomal RNA (465 nucleotides) under Vreelandella stevensii. RNAcentral describes it as "partial 16S ribosomal RNA". It matches the Rfam family "Bacterial small subunit ribosomal RNA", at positions 338 to 795 of the family's 1533-position model. The record is from RNAcentral. Lineage: Bacteria; Pseudomonadati; Pseudomonadota; Gammaproteobacteria; Oceanospirillales; Halomonadaceae.